Molecule: small RNA, 4313 nt
Filed under: Pan troglodytes (chimpanzee)
Lineage: Eukaryota; Metazoa; Chordata; Mammalia; Primates; Hominidae
Description: retained intron
Source: RNAcentral
GUGGGAGCCGGUGGGACCCCCACCCCCACCCACCCAGCUUACCAACUCGGGGAGGCAGGAGGGGCGCCGAGCUUGCUGGGAUUGGAGUGGGACUCCGCCAUGUCACCGUGGACUGGUGGUCCAUCGCCCCCUCCCCAAAAGUCCUGGACCGCAAGUACCGAUGUGGUGAGAAGGACCCGGCUGAGGGAUGGAGCCUCAGUUUUCCUGGGGACCACAGCAGGGCCCCACAAGGGGUCGUAUGUGCAGAGGAUUCUGCCAUCUUCCUGGGGGUCCUUAGGCCCAGGCCCUGAGGGAGGGGCUGUGAAGGCCUGAGGACAGCAUUCCUGCCCUCCCUAACCACAUCAGGGUCCCGGGCCGACCUGCCGUCCGUUGUACCCCUCCCCAGGCACAGACUGUGACUACAUCCAAGACUUGUGCAGGCCCCCAGCCCCACCCCGCCUUGAAUGGGGGCUUAGGGUGACCAGUGAGGGAGGCAGUCUCUGAACAGGGCCCUAAGGAGCGAGUUGAUCUCAGUUCUAGUUGGAGAGACUGGCGAGUGGUCAGUGGAGUCUCUGGGUGGUGGGCAGGCAGGGAGACCCUCAGACACCCCCUGCCCAGCCCAGGCUUCUUCCCAGGGAGGUCUGAGGGUGGGGUGACACUGGGGAGGCACAGACGCAGGCGUCCUGGACACCUUCUCCCUGCACCACGCCAGACCCCGUACUUCUGGACAAGUACCCUGUGGCCGGCUGCAGAACUGGACUAUGGUGAGCAAGGGGACGGCUGGCCCCAGACAAGUUCCCAGGACUGGGGGCCUCAGGGUGAUGCCGUGAGGCAGGGCAGAGCUGGCCCCUCUGCAGGCUGUCCCUGUCCUUCCAGCCAUCUACCUGGCCAAGAAGAACAUCCGAAAACGGGGGACCCUGGUGGACUAUGAGAAGGACUGCUAUGACCAGCUACACAAGAAGAUCAACCACGCGUGGGACCUGGUGCUGAUGCAGGCGAGGGAGCAGCUGAGGGCAGCCAAGCAGCGCAGGAAGGGGGACAGGCUGGUCAUUGCGUGCCAGGAGCAGACCUACUGGCUGGUGAACAGGCCCCCGCCCGGGGCCCCCAAUGUGCUGGAGCAGGGUCCGGGGCGGGGAUCCUGCGCUGCCAGCCGUGUGCUCAUGGUGAGCCCCUGCGUGCGUGCUGGCCGCCCUCUCACCCUGCACACCGGCUGCACCCUGCUGGACCCACCAUGGGACUGCCCAGCUGUCCGUCAUUUGCUCCACCCAGAGGGCACUUGGUGCAGCCUCCCCAAGCCCCUGCUCACUCCCGGUCACUCCCUGUUCCCAGGCCCCUGCUAACUGUCGCUUUCUCUCCCCUCCCACCUGCUGCCCUGGGUGCAGGUAAGUGGAGUGGUGGGGACGAGGGGGCUGGCGGGGAGGAAGGGGGCUCUUCUCCAGAACAGUAUCAGGGUUUGCUGGAAAUUGGAGGGGUGACAAGCAGGGUUACGGCCUCUGACAGACCUGAGCAGAUCCAGCAACCUCCCUCCAGGUGGAGGCCUCCAGAACCAGAGGGACCAGACCAGAGGGAGCAUCUGAGCCCCGCAGCAGCAAAACCCUUUGCUCAAACCAGUCCCAUCCAGACCCAACAUCUGGAAAGAUGCACCUAGAACCUCACUGAUAAAACUUCUUAAGUUCACGACCCUAACAUUUCCCCAUACAAAGCUGGUCAGAGAGAGCGGGGACACAGGCCAGGACUCGCAGCGCGUCCGCCUCCUCCACUCUGGCCCCAGCGAGGUGCCGACCAAUGAACGUCACACCUGGUUCCCCAGUGAUCCCCAUUAGUAGUAUUUCUCAAGUAUGUGUUGUUUAAAAACAUAAUUUAAGUACAUUUGAAAAUGUGACAUAUUAGGCCGGGCGCGGUGGCUCACGUCUCUAAUCCCAGCACUUUGGGAGGCCGAGGCGGGCAGAUCACCUGAGUUCAGGAGUUCGAGACCAGCCAGAUCAACAUGGAGAAACCAAGUCUCUACUAAAAAUAGAAAAUUAGCCGGGCGUGGUGGCGCGUGCUUGUAGUCCCAGCUACUGGAGAGGCUGAGGCAGGAGAAUGGCUUGAAGCCAGGAGGCGGAGGUUGCGGUGAGCCGAGAUCGCACCACUGCACUCCAGCCUGGGCAACAAGAGUGAAACUGUCUCAAAAAAAUAAUAAAGAAAAAAAAUGACACAUUACUCACAACUGCAACUUUGAGAACCUGAGGGUUCCGUGGAAUAUUCCACAGAUCGCCAGCCUUAGGCCCCCAGAGGUCUCCUCGAAAGUCAGAUCCCUGAUUGGAAGAAGGGGCUCCAAGGGGCGGGACUGGGGGCCUGGGCCACCAUCUCUGCCAGAUCUAUGUGGCAGGGGCUCAGUCUGGGGAGGUGCCCUCCUGCUGGGGAUUUUGGACCCCAGCAGGGGACCUGCAUCUAACUGCAGCCCACCUGUCCCCUUCUAGACCAAGAGUGCAGAUUUCUAUAAGCGGGAGGUAAGUUCUGGAGCUGGGAGUGGAGGGUGCCAGGUGCCUUCCCCAGCCGGGGACCUGACUCACAGGCCCCACAUCCUAGAUUGAGUACUUCAGGAAAGCGCUGGGCAGGACCCGAGUGAAGUCGUCCGUCUGCCUUGAGGCGUGAGUGGGGUGAGGGGUGGCAGCUGGAGACCCCUGCUGAGUGCGCUAGCUCCUGAGGCCCCUCCUGCACCAGCCCCGAUACCCCCUUCCAGGUACCUGAGUUUCUGCGGCCAGCGUGGACCCCACGACCCCCUCGUGUCGGGGUGCCUGCCCAGCAAUCCCUGGAUCUCAGACAAUGACGCCUACUGGGUCAUGAAUGCCCCCACGGUGGCUGCCCCCACGAAGCUCCGUGUGGAGAGAUGGGGCUUCAGCUUCCGGGAGCUCCUGGAGGACCCCAUGGGGCGGGCCCACUUCAUGGACUUUCUGGGAAAGGAGUUCAGUGGAGAAAACCUCAGCUUCUGGGAGGCAUGUGAGGAGCUUCGAUAUGGAACGCAGGCCCAGGUCCCCACCCUGGUGGAUGCCGUGUAUGAGCAGUUCCUGGCCCCCGGAGCUGCCCGCUGGGUCAACAUCGACAGCCGGACCAUGGAGCAGACCCUGGAGAGGCUGCGCCAGCCCCACCGCUACGUCCUGGAUGACGCCCAGCUGCACAUAUACAUGCUCAUGAAGAAGGACUCCUACCCAAGGUUCCUGAAGUCUGACAUGUACAAGGGCCUCCUGGCAGAGGCUGGGAUCCCGCUGGAGACGAAGAGACGCGUGUUCCCGUUUACGUGGAGGCCACGGCACUCGAGCCCCAGCCCUGCACUCCUUCCCACCCCUGUGGAGCCCACAGCGGCUUGUGGCCCUGGGGGUGGAGAUGGGGUGGCCUAGUGGACCUGGCCCAUCUGCCACUCUAGUCCCUGCAGCUCAAUGUCCUGCGUGAAUGCAGCAGCCACCCCCCUCUUGGCCCAGGUCCUGGGGGCUGCUGAACCCAGCACCAGUGUCCCCUUGUGCCCAGGGGGCCCAGUCUUGCUGUGGGGUGCACAGCCUCCCUCCCUCCAGCAAGCCCUCCCUGCCCAGAAGGAAUGGGUCCAGGUGUGGAUUCCCAGGGAGGGGGUUCAUUGGCACAGCUUGGCUCAGGGCAGCGCCUGUUACCUGAAGAGAGGUGAGACCAAGGCCACAGGGAGCUCCACCUUCUCUGGUCUUCAGUCCAGCACUGGGUGCCCAUCCUCAUCUCUAAAACCAGUAAAUCAGCCAGCGAAUACCCAGAAGCAAGAUGCACAGGCGGGCGGCUUCCCACACACCCGUCACAAGACGCGGACAUGCAGGUCUCGGCGCGAGCUCUGCCCCGUCCAAGCGCCUCUCCGCUGUCGCCCAGUGUGAGCCUGGAAGAGGACCCAAGAGAGUGCCGUGCUGAGGCUGCCUCGAGGUCACUGCCUUCUGGAGCUGCGCCUAUUCCUCCCUCGCCAAACGCGUUCCAGAAUUUGUCCACAGGUGCGCCGGCACCUGCUUUUCCACCUCGAGGCCGCGGCCUCCCCCCCAGAUUUAUAGACAACUCUGACAUUGUCACCCCACUGACGAGGCCCCUGAUUCCAUAGGGUGGAUCCUUGCCAGGUGUCCCUGAUCCUCCCUGCCCAAGCCUUCCUUCGUGAGCUGGCAUUGCUCCCCAUCCCCCAAGUGCCUCACCACUCCCCCAGACUGGGUGAAGGUACAGCUGGCUCCUUUUGGGGGUGCAGCUUCAACUCUCUCGGCGGUAGGGCGGUGCCAUCCCCACAUAUAGGGCUGGCUCACAUCCAGUCACUCCCAACAGCAUCCAGCACACAAAUAAAAGACCCUUGGGCCCUG